UACAGAGGUCUCAAGCGUUGUUCGGAUUCAUUGGGCGUAAAGGGUGCGUAGGUGGCGAGGUAAGUCGGAUGUGAAAUCUCAGGGCUCAACCCUGAAACUGCAUUCGAUACUGCCUUGCUCGAGGACUGGAGAGGAGAUUGGAAUUCACGGUGUAGCAGUGAAAUGCGUAGAUAUCGUGAGGAAGACCAGUGGCGAAGGCGGAUCUCUGGACAGUUCCUGACACUGAGGCACGAAGGCCAGGGGAGCAAACGGG
Molecule: ribosomal RNA, 253 nt
Filed under: uncultured bacterium
Lineage: Bacteria
Also listed under: 1 other name
Description: partial 16S ribosomal RNA
Rfam family: Bacterial small subunit ribosomal RNA
Source: RNAcentral